RNAcentral lists this microRNA precursor (102 nucleotides) under Loxodonta africana (African savanna elephant). RNAcentral describes it as "miRNA (ENSLAFG00000027308.1)". Lineage: Eukaryota; Metazoa; Chordata; Mammalia; Proboscidea; Elephantidae. The record is from RNAcentral.
GGUCCAGGGCAUUUCCUGGGGAUUAAUGACUGGCUGGGGUUACUGGCCCGGAGCAUUGCUCUAGGUCAUUAAUCCCCAGGAAAUGCCCUGUGUACCUGGAGC